RNAcentral lists this small RNA (191 nucleotides) under Arabidopsis thaliana (thale cress). RNAcentral describes it as "ATSL025940". Lineage: Eukaryota; Viridiplantae; Streptophyta; Magnoliopsida; Brassicales; Brassicaceae. The record is from RNAcentral.
AUUAUAGGAUGUUUAAACCAACCCUUCAAGUUACUUCAAGUUAAUUUCGGUUGCAAGUUUAUCUUCCAAAUCCGAAUUAUGCAAGUCAAUUCCACCAUCUCUAAAAUCACCCGUAAUAUAGUCCUCCCGUAUAGCGAUGACGUGACAUUCGAUAACUCUGUUUAAAAAUAUAAGUGUUUAUGCAAAAAAAA